GCCAAGGUAGCUUAGUGGCUAAUGCACCUGCCUAGUAAGCAGGAGACCCAGGUUCGAUUCCCGGCCUUGGUA
Molecule: non-coding RNA, 72 nt
Organism: Schistocerca cancellata (South American locust)
Lineage: Eukaryota; Metazoa; Arthropoda; Insecta; Orthoptera; Acrididae
Source: the annotation of a RefSeq genome assembly